ACUGACGGCCAUAUCUCACCAAACGCACCGGAUCUCUUUCGACCUCCGAAGUUAAGCGGUGGAGAGUCCGCCUAGUACUGGUACCAGAAUCUGAGUGGGGCCCUUAGCC
RNAcentral lists this ribosomal RNA (109 nucleotides) under Symbiodinium microadriaticum. The record is from RNAcentral. Lineage: Eukaryota; Dinophyceae; Suessiales; Symbiodiniaceae.